RNAcentral lists this ribosomal RNA (925 nucleotides) under Torrubiella sp. JQ-2019. RNAcentral's name for it is "partial large subunit ribosomal RNA". It matches the Rfam family "Eukaryotic large subunit ribosomal RNA", at positions 24 to 978 of the family's 3401-position model. The record is from RNAcentral. Lineage: Eukaryota; Fungi; Ascomycota; Sordariomycetes; Hypocreales; Cordycipitaceae.
CCCGCUUGACUUAAGCAUAUCAAUAAGCGGAGGAAAAGAAACCAACAGGGAUUGCCCCAGUAACGGCGAGUGAAGCGGCAACAGCUCAAAUUUGAAAUCUGGCCCCUAGGGCCCGAGUUGUAAUUUGCAGAGGAUGCUUUUGACGAGGUGCCUUCCGAGUUCCCUGGAACGGGACGCCAUAGAGGGUGAGAGCCCCGUCUGGUUGGACACCGAGUCUCUGUAAAGCUCCUUCGACGAGUCGAGUAGUUUGGGAAUGCUGCUCUAAAUGGGAGGUAUAUGUCUUCUAAAGCUAAAUACCGGCCAGAGACCGAUAGCGCACAAGUAGAGUGAUCGAAAGAUGAAAAGCACUUUGAAAAGAGGGUUAAACAGUACGUGAAAUUGUUGAAAGGGAAGCGUUCAUGACCAGACUUGGGCCCGGCGAAUCAUCCAGCGUUCUCGCUGGUGCACUUUUCCGGGCUCAGGCCAGCAUCAGUUUGCCCCGGGGGAUAAAGGCUCUGGGAAUGUGGCUCCUCCGGGAGUGUUAUAGCCCGCUGCACAAUACUCUGGGGCGGACUGAGGUUCGCGCAUCUGCAUGGAUGCUGGCGUAAUGGUCAUCAGCGACCCGUCUUGAAACACGGACCAAGGAGUCGUCUUCGUAUGCGAGUGUUCGGGUGUCAAACCCCUACGCGUAAUGAAAGUGAACGCAGGUGAGAGCUUCGGCGCAUCAUCGACCGAUCCUGAUGUUCUCGGAUGGAUUUGAGUAAGAGCAUACGGGGCCGGACCCGAAAGAAGGUGAACUAUGCCUGUAUAGGGUGAAGCCAGAGGAAACUCUGGUGGAGGCUCGCAGCGGUUCUGACGUGCAAAUCGAUCGUCAAAUAUGGGCAUGGGGGCGAAAGACUAAUCGAACCUUCUAGUAGCUGGUUUCCGCCGAAGUUUCCCCUCAGGA